UGGGGAAUAUUGCACAAUGGGGGAAACCCUGAUGCAGCGACGUCGCGUGAGCGAAGAAGGCCUUCGGGUCGUAAAGCUCUGUCCUAUGGGAAGAAAAGGACGGUACCAUAGAAGGAAGCCCCGGCUAACUACGUGCCAGCAGCCGCGGUAAUACGUAGGGGGCGAACGUUAUCCGGAAUGAUUGGGCGUAAAGGGUACGUAGGCGGCACUUUAAGUCAGGUGUGAAAGGCAUGGGCUCAACCAUUGUAGGCUUUGGAAACUGUUUAACUUGAGUGCAGAAGGGGAGAGUGGAAUUCCAUGUGUAGCGGUGAAAUGCGUAGAUAUAUGGAGGAACACCGGUGGCGAAAGCGGCUCUCUGGUCUGUAACUGACGCUGAGGCUCGAAAGCGUGGGGAGCGAACAGG
RNAcentral lists this ribosomal RNA (403 nucleotides) under Verrucomicrobiota bacterium. RNAcentral describes it as "Verrucomicrobia bacterium partial 16S ribosomal RNA". It matches the Rfam family "Bacterial small subunit ribosomal RNA", at positions 355 to 776 of the family's 1533-position model. The record is from RNAcentral. Lineage: Bacteria; Pseudomonadati; Verrucomicrobiota.